Molecule: ribosomal RNA, 253 nt
Filed under: uncultured bacterium
Lineage: Bacteria
Description: partial 16S ribosomal RNA
Rfam family: Bacterial small subunit ribosomal RNA
Source: RNAcentral
UACGGAGGAUCCGAGCGUUAUCCGGAUUUAUUGGGUUUAAAGGGUGCGUAGGCGGGUCUUUAAGUCAGCGGUGAAAGUUCGUGGCUCAACCACGAAAUUGCCGUUGAAACUAUAGACCUUGAGUGUAGAUGAAGUGGGCGGAAUUCGUAGUGUAGCGGUGAAAUGCUUAGAUAUUACGAAGAACUCCAAUUGCGAAGGCAGCUCACUAGGCUACAACUGACGCUGAGGCACGAAGGUGCGGGGAUCAAACAGG